Molecule: long non-coding RNA, 347 nt
Filed under: Marmota monax (woodchuck)
Lineage: Eukaryota; Metazoa; Chordata; Mammalia; Rodentia; Sciuridae
Source: RNAcentral
CUCAAAGCAAGAAGGAAGGAAGUGCAGACAGCAAAAGAAAGCAGUGUGACUAGAAGUUGUAAAACAAACUCCAAAAGCCGAGUCUUUAAUAAAAAAAUAAAAUAAAGAAGUUAAUGAAUUCAUAGCACAAAUGAUACAAGAAAAAAGAAUAAUUAGUAAUAUCAGGAAGUAAAGAUGCAUCAGUACAGACUCCACAGGCGGAAAGAUGAAGAGGAAGUACUAAGGAUUUGGCAAUGUGAAUGAAAUGGACUAAUUCUUUAAACCUCAAACUUCAAGUCACGCUCAGAAUAACAACAUGUGACUAGUCCAAAAAACAAUUAAUGAAAUUGAAUUCCCAGUUAUAAACC